UGGAAACUGUNUGACUUGAGUGCAGAAGGGGAGAGUGGAAUUCCAUGUGUAGCGGUGAANUGCGUAGAUAUAUGGAGGAACACCAGUGGCGAAAGCGGCUCUCUGGUCUGUCACUGACGCUGAGGCUCGAAAGCGUGGGUAGCGAACAGGAUUAGAUACCCUGGUAGUNCACGCCGUAAACGAUGAGUGCUAGGUGUUAGGCCCUUUCCGGGGCUUAGUGCCGGAGCUAACGCAAUAAGCACUCCGCCUGGGGAGUACGACCGCAAGGUUGAAACUCAAAGGAAUUGGCGGGGGCCCGCACAAGCGGUGGAGCAUGUGGUUUAAUUCGAAGCAACGCGAAGAACCUUACCAGGUCUUGACAUCCCGAUGCUAUUCUUAGAGAUAGGAAGUUACUUCGGUACAUCGGAGACAGGUGGUGCAUGGUUGUCGUCAGCUCGUGUCGUGAGAUGUUGGGUUAAGUCCCGCAACGAGCGCAACCCUUAUUGUUAGGUGUCAUCAUUAAGUUGGGCACUCUAGCGAGACUGCCGGUAAUAAACCGGAGGAAGGUGGGGAUGACGUCAAAUCAUCAUGCCCCUUAUGACCUGGGCUACACACGUGCUACAAUGGUCGGUACAACGAGUUGCGAGCCGGUGACGGCAAGCUAAUCUCUGAAAGCCGAUCUCAGUUCGGAUUGGAGGCUGCAACUCGCCUCCAUGAAGUCGGAAUCGCUAGUAAUCGCGGAUCAGCACGCCGCGGUGAAUACGUUCCCGGGCCUUGUACACACCGCCCGUCACACCACGAGAGUUUGUAACACCCGAAG
Molecule: ribosomal RNA, 799 nt
Filed under: uncultured bacterium
Lineage: Bacteria
Description: bacterial SSU rRNA
Rfam family: Bacterial small subunit ribosomal RNA
Source: RNAcentral